Molecule: ribosomal RNA, 662 nt
Filed under: Thriocerodes sp. 1 NLG-2013
Lineage: Eukaryota; Metazoa; Arthropoda; Insecta; Coleoptera; Cleridae
Description: eukaryotic LSU rRNA
Rfam family: Eukaryotic large subunit ribosomal RNA
Source: RNAcentral
UGAAACACGGACCAAGGAGUCUAGCAUGUGCGCGAGUCAUUGGGAAUAACUAAACCUAAAGGCGCAAUGAAAGUGAAGGUUCGUCUCGCGCGAACCGAGGGAAGAUGGGCGUGCCGUGAUUACCGCGGCCGCCCCGCACUCCCGGGGCGUCUCGUUCUCAUCGCGAGAAGAGGCGCACCAAGAGCGUACACGCUGGGACCCGAAAGAUGGUGAACUAUGCCUGGUCAGGACGAAGUCAGGGGAAACCCUGAUGGAGGUCCGUAGCGAUUCUGACGUGCAAAUCGAUCGUCGGAACUGGGUAUAGGGGCGAAAGACUAAUCGAACCAUCUAGUAGCUGGUUCCCUCCGAAGUUUCCCUCAGGAUAGCUGGCGCUCGUCGCCUACGAGUCUCAUCCGGUAAAGCGAAUGAUUAGAGGCAUUGGGGUCGAAACGGCCUCAACCUAUUCUCAAACUUUAAAUGGGUGAGAUCUCCGGCUUGCUCGAACUACUGAAGCCGCGAGACACGGAUCAGAGUGCCAAGUGGGCCAUUUUUGGUAAGCAGAACUGGCGCUGUGGGAUGAACCAAACGCCGAGUUAAAGCGCCUAAAUCGACGCUUAUGGGAUACCAUGAAAGGCGUUGGUAACUUAAGACAGCAGGACGGUGGCCAUGGAAGUCGGAAUCCG